This is a long non-coding RNA of Cyprinus carpio (common carp), 2802 nucleotides long. The record is from Ensembl. Lineage: Eukaryota; Metazoa; Chordata; Actinopteri; Cypriniformes; Cyprinidae.
CUCGCACUGACCCAAGUUUUAACUUCUUCACGCAAGCUCCAGUGGAGAGAAAGAGUAAAUGGGAGAAACCUACUAAGACACCAGUGUAUGUUCACAAGACGCAGGUCUCAGGGGUUUCUAAGGCAGAGUAUGGAGAAAGUACAGAACGUAUUGAUCCCAACAAACACUGCCCCCUGCACAAGAAGCCUCAUCCUCUGAGGAAGUGCAGAGGUUUUCGUGAGAAGAGCAUAAAUGAUCGCAAACAUCUUUUGAAAGAGCAUCAUAUCUGCUUUCGCUGUUGCUCCUCCACAGACCAUCUAGCAAAGGACUGCACUGCUGAAAUAAAAUGUACAGAGUGUGGGAGUGCGGCUCAUGUGACAGCACUUCACCCCUACUCACCUACCUGGAAAUCUAAGUCAUCCCCUUCCACUUCAGAGGAUGGCGGGGAGGAGGACAAAGCAGAAAUCAGAGAAGUUAAGUCGACGUGCACUCAAGUAUGUGGUGAAGGAUUGAGCGCUAGGACAUGUGCUAAGAUCUGCCUUGUUAAUGUGUUCCCCAAUGGCUGCAAGAAUGAGUCUAAGAGAAUGUACGCCAUACUAGACGAACAGAGCAAUCGCUCACUAGCGCGGUCUGAGUUUUUUGAGAUUUUUAAGAUCUCUGGAAAUUCCUACUCGUAUACCCUCAAAACCUGUGCGGGGUGUUCAGAGACGGUGGGAAGGAGAGCCAGUGGUUAUACUGUGGAGUUGGUGGACAAGAAAAUUAGCAUUCAUUUGCCUACACUCCUGGAGUGCAAUCAAAUCCCUAACGUUCGCACUGAGAUUCCUACGCCGGAAGCAGCUUACCAUCAAGCCCACCUGAAGCGCAUCGCUGACAAGAUUCCGCCUUUAGAUCCGGACAGCAAAAUUCUCCUCUUACUGGGCAGAGACAUCUUACAAGUACACAAGGUCCGAGAACAGAUUAGCGGCCCAGGUGAUGCACCAUUUGCGCAAAGGCUUGAUCUAGGAUGGGUCAUCAUUGGUGAUGUGUGCCUUGGAGGUGCUCACAGAACACAAGAGGUGAGAAGCUACAAAACAGCCAUUUUCGAGAACGGCCGUACAAGCUAUCUUCAACCAUGCAACAACCAGAUCAAAGUAAAAGAGAUAUUUGAGCAAGCGUUUAGACCUCAGCAUCAUUCAGCACCAAUCUCCAUCAGUGGUUCCAUGACGCUCGGUGGAGACUGCUUAGGGCAGACCGUCUUCGCUCGUUCUCCCGACGAUCAUAGACUCGCUCCAUCCAUGGAGGAUCUAGAGUUUCUGAAGAUAAUGGAGGCUGAGUGUUUUCAGGACAGUUCCAAAAGUUGGGUCGCACCUUUACCCUUUCGGUUGCCGAGACAGAGGCUGCCUAACAACAGGAAGCAGGUUUUUGACCGUUUUGUCUCGCUCCAGCGCUCAUUGGAAAAACGACCACAGUUGAAAGCCGAUUUCCUAGAGUUUAUGGAGAAGAUGUUCAAGAAGGCACACGCUGAAGUCGCUCCGCCAGUACAGCCUGGACAAGAGUGUUGGUACCUACCCCUGUUUGGUGUGUAUCAUCCAAGGAAACCAGAUAGGAUUCGUGUGGUCUUCGACAGUAGUGCGUCAUGCGAAGGAGUGUCACUCAACGAUGUCUUGCUAACUGGUCCCAACCUUAAUAAUAGCCUGCUUGGUGUCCUUAUGAGGUUCAGGAAGGAACAGGUGGCGAUCACUGCCGACAUCGAGCACAUGUUCCACUGCUUUGUAGUCAAGGAAGACCAUCGUGACUUUCUUCGCUUCCUGUGGUACAGGGACAACGACCCUACCUCCGACAUCAUUGAUUACAGAAUGCGGGUUCACCUUUUUGGGAAUAGUCCCUCGCCUGCCGUAGCAGUGUAUGGUCUGCGACGGGCAGCUAAGAAAGCAGAAGCAGACUAUGGUAGUGAUGCAAGAAGAUUCAUCGACCGCGAGUUCUAUGUUGACGACGCUUUGAAGUCCUUCAGCACAGAAGAAGAGGCCAUCAGCGUCCUAGGGCGAGCUCAGAAGAUGCUUGCAACUUCCAACCUCAGGCUACACAAAAUUGCUUCAAACCGACCGGCAGUUAUCGAAGCGUUUCCAUUUGAAGAUCGCACCAAGGACGUCAACAGCCUAGAUCUCUUUGUUGAUGAUUUGCCAAUACAACGUAGCCUUGGAUUGCUCUGGAACAUGCGCACAGAUACAUUCAUGUUUCGAAUCGAAGAUGACCAGAGGCCAUUCACUCGUAGAGGAGUGCUUUCGACUGUGAACAGCCUCUACGAUCCUCUAGGAUUCCUCGCACCCAUCACGGUUCAUGGAAGACUGAUACUCAGAGAGCUAACUAAGCAAGCAGAGGAUUGGGACACACCUCUUCCCAAAGACAUGGAGACUGAAUGGACUAGAUGGAAACGGUCGCUCCAAGAUCUGCACGGACUCCAGAUACCACGCCCUUAUACGUCAUUCUCCACCGCAGGUGCUCUAAGAAGAGAGCUCUGUGUCUUUGCAGAUGCAUCGGUAAAGGCAAUAGCAGCCGUAGCCUACAUCAAGGUGACAAGCCACCAGGAACAGACUGAGAUUGGCUUUGUCUUCGGGAAAGCAAAGUUGGCGCCUCAGCCCGAUCUAACCAUCCCAAGGCUUGAGCUUUGUGCGGCUGUACUCGCCAUCGAGAUCGCUGAGAUGAUAGUUUCAGAGAUGGACACCAUGUUCGACAACAUCGCCUACUACACAGAUAGCAAGGUUGUAUUGGGAUACAUCCAGAACCAGUCGAGAAGAUUCUAUGUCUACGUACACAACAGGAUCCAAAGAAUCCGUCAAUCACCUU